CUGUAAAGUUUGUUUCAUGGGCUCAGGACGAACGCUGGCGUACGUGCUUAAUCACAUGCAAAUCGAGCGGUAAGGCGCCUUUCGUGGGUACACGAGCGGCGAACAGGGUGGAGUAAUCCCAGUCGGGCUAGUCUGGUGCUGUACUCUGGGGAUAAGCCUCGGCAACCUGGCUCUCAUUACCUGAAUAUGACCUCCUACUCGCAUCGUCGGGGGGUCGGAAAAGGUUUACUGGUGCAUGGAUGGGCCCGCGGCCUAUCAGCUUGUUGGUGGGGGUAAUGGGGCUAUCAAGUCGCCGACGGGUAGCCGGCCUGAGAGGGCGACCGACCACACUGGGACUGAGACACGGCCCAGACUCCUACGGGAGGCAGCAGUGGGGGAAUAUUGCACAAUGGGCGAAAGCCUGAUGCAGCGACGCCGCCUGACGGGAUGGACGGGCUUCGGGUUGUAAUCCUCUUUCAGCAGGGUCGAAGCGCAAGUGACGGUACCUGCAGAAGAAGCACCGGCCACCUACGUGCCAGCAGCCGCGGUAAUACGUAGGGGUGCGAGCGUUGUCCGGAAUUACUGGGCGUAAAGAGCUCGUAGGCGGUUUGUCGCGUCGUUUGUGAAAACACGCAGCUCAUCUGCGGGCUUGCAGGCGAUACGGGCAGGCUUGAGUACUGCAGGAGAGACUGGAAUUCCUGGUGUAGCGGUGAAAAGCGCAGAUAUCAGGAGGAACAACGGUGGCGAAGGCGGGUCUCUGGGCAGUAGCUGACGCUGAGGAGCGAAAGCAUGGGUAGCGAACAGGAUUAGAUGCCCUGGUAGUACACCCCGUAAUCGGUGGCGCUAGGUGUGGGUUUCCUUGCACGGGAUCCGUGCCGUAGCUAACGCAUUUAAGACCCCGGCCA
This 884-nucleotide ribosomal RNA is filed under the name Rhodococcus sp. (in: high G+C Gram-positive bacteria). RNAcentral's name for it is "bacterial SSU rRNA". It matches the Rfam family "Bacterial small subunit ribosomal RNA", at positions 9 to 873 of the family's 1533-position model. The record is from RNAcentral. Lineage: Bacteria; Bacillati; Actinomycetota; Actinomycetes; Mycobacteriales; Nocardiaceae.